Carassius carassius (crucian carp) is the source of this 1281-nucleotide long non-coding RNA. RefSeq lists it as uncharacterized. Lineage: Eukaryota; Metazoa; Chordata; Actinopteri; Cypriniformes; Cyprinidae. The record is from RefSeq and is a predicted model, not a curated record. The transcript is spliced from 3 exons.
CACUUGCACAUGUAUCACAUGUGCAAAUUUUUCAGUGUGAGCAGAGCAACAUAAGCAAACUAGUGCUCGGGGAUUGUGCCACUAUCUUGAUUUUGGCAAGGACGUUUAUGGAUUUGCAUGUGCGAGGUUUGAUCACAUUUUGGGACAUGUGCAAAGACUGGGCUCUACCGUAUUUCAUUUUCUUUUCUUUUACUCCAUUUAACUUCACUCAAGGGCGAUUCAGAAAUACUAAAAUUUCCUAUAUCCGUACCCUGAACUUUUGAAGUUUGAGACUAUUUCUGGACUGUAUUUCUCACAUUUUGAAAUCAGUGCUGUAUCUCUUCUUUUUGUCAAUUAAGCACAACAGAGACCUAAGAUUUACUUUAUUUUAUUGAUUGUUCUUCAUCAGUACUUACUCCCAUCGAUCGCUGUCCUUCUGAGAGAUAGCUGUCAGAAUAAAACCCCUAAUAUAUACUUUUUUGUAUUGUGUGGCGUUUCCUUACAACCCAUAGGCCACAUUUUGGUAACAGGAGUGGGGCAUCUGACUGUUGGGAGUCUAUAGUCUUUUUUAUGUUUUGAAAUACGGUAGAGCUGAAGAUAGGUGCUUGUGGAAUACGGAGUGAAGGCAAACUUUCUGAGUGCGGUUGUCCAGCGAACAGACGUUGGCUGGCUGGAGGUGACAAUACUGCUAAGCGAGAGGAAGAAGAGUGCCUUAUCCAUUGUGGUCUGCAUCGUGCUUUCCAAGGAGACGCCUAUCAAGAGACUGUCUAAAAAGGAAGAGGGAUGUAUUCUAUGAGGAGCUGAGAACAUAUCCUUUGACUCCCAAAUAAUAACGAACUGAUUAAGAGACUAUUUUUGUCCAAAGCAACUGUUUCCAUUUUGUUAAACUGAAGAAAAUUGUAUACAACAAUGUCACAAUCAGAUGAUGUUGCUCCACUUUUACCAGUUGAUGAGUACGGUGAUGAACAGGGUGCAAGUAGUGGUAGGCAUGACAUGUACGUACAAAUUCAAGAACUUAAUAGAAAGCGUGAGGAAACUAUGGCAGCAAUUGCUAACUUAAGUAGAGAGCCAACCAGGUCUUACAUUUAUGUACCAAGAGAACGUCACAUACAACCAUUCAGUGGUGAUUUGAACAAAGAUGUGAGAUAUGUUGACGAGUUUAUUGAAGAGGUAGAGAGGUUGAUGCAUGCUAGAAGUCAGACUAUGGAAGACCAGUUAGACUUUGUCCUCUCACUUUUUAAAGGGACAGCUUUAGAGGAGGUCGAAUGGGGAAUGAUGCAAAACAUCCAUGUGACAUUUUUG